RNAcentral lists this ribosomal RNA (272 nucleotides) under uncultured archaeon. Its description in RNAcentral is "partial 16S ribosomal RNA". It matches the Rfam family "Bacterial small subunit ribosomal RNA", at positions 524 to 794 of the family's 1533-position model. The record is from RNAcentral.
UACGGAGGGUGCAAGCGUUGUUCGGAAUUACUGGGCGUAAAGCGCGUGUAGGCGGAUGAGGUAGUCGGGUGUGAAAUCCCUCGGCUCAACCGAGGAACUGCGCACGAAACCACUCAUCUUGAGGUCCGGAGGGGAUCGGGGGAAUUCCCAGUGUAGAGGUGAAAUUCGUAGAUAUUGGGAGGAACACCGGUGGCGAAGGCGCCGAUCUGGACGGACCCUGACGCUCAAACGCGAAAGCGUGGGUAGCAAACAGGAUUAGAAACCCCGGUAGU